This 412-nucleotide RNase P RNA is filed under the name Leptolyngbya sp. PLA1. RNAcentral describes it as "RNase P RNA component class A". It matches the Rfam family "Bacterial RNase P class A". Rfam says of the family: Ribonuclease P (RNase P) is a ubiquitous endoribonuclease, found in archaea, bacteria and eukarya as well as chloroplasts and mitochondria. Its best characterised activity is the generation of mature 5'-ends of tRNAs by cleaving the 5'-leader elements of precursor-tRNAs. Cellular RNase Ps are ribonucleoproteins. Lineage: Bacteria; Bacillati; Cyanobacteriota; Cyanophyceae; Leptolyngbyales; Leptolyngbyaceae. The record is from RNAcentral.
CAGUGCGGUGAGGCGGCCGCGUAUCGGCGUUCGCUGAUCCGAGGAAAGUCCGAGCACGGGAGGACACGGUGGUGGGUAACGCCCACCCGCCCGGAGGCCACGGGCGCGGGACAGUGCCACAGAGAACAGACCGCCGAUGGCCCGCGAGGGAUCAGGCAAGGGUGAAACGGUGGGGUAAGAGCCCACCGCCCCGACGGUGACGUCGGGGGCACGGCAAACCCCACCGCGUGCAAGGUCAAGCAGCCCCCGGAGUGGCGUGCCACUCCCGAUCGGUCCGGUCGUCGCGGGGCGGGUAGACCGCUGGAGCCCCGGGGCAACCCUGGGCGGAGAGAAAUGGCCGUCACGCACGGCAGGUCCGCGGAAGCGGAUACCACCGGUGCGACAGAACUCGGCUUACCAGCCGCACGGGCCU